This is a microRNA precursor of Cricetulus griseus (Chinese hamster), 127 nucleotides long. NCBI's taxonomy places the organism in Eukaryota, Metazoa, Chordata, Mammalia, Rodentia, Cricetidae. The record is from Ensembl.
GGUUUCUCUGUGUAUCCCUGGCUGUCCUGGAACUCACUCUGUAGACCAGGCUGGCCUCAAACUCAAAAAGAUCCACCUGCCUCUGCCUCCCGAGUGGUGGGAUUAAAGGCAUGUGCCACCACUGCCC